CCUUGAAAUACCACCCUUUAAUGUUUGAUGUUCUAACGUUGACCCGUAAUCCGGGUUGCGGACAGUGUCUGGUGGGUAGUUUGACUGGGGCGGUCUCCUCCUAAAGAGUAACGGAGGAGCACGAAGGUUGGCUAAUCCUGGUCGGACAUCAGGAGGUUAGUGCAAUGGCAUAAGCCAGCUUGACUGCGAGCGUGACGGCGCGAGCAGGUGCGAAAGCAGGUCAUAGUGAUCCGGUGGUUCUGAAUGGAAGGGCCAUCGCUCAACGGAUAAAAGGUACUCCGGGGAUAACAGGCUGAUACCGCCCAAGAGUUCAUAUCGACGGCGGUGUUUGGCACCUCGAUGUCGGCUCAUCACAUCCUGGGGCUGAAGUAGGUCCCAAGGGUAUGGCUGUUCGCCAUUUAAAGUGGUACGCGAGCUGGGUUUAGAACGUCGUGAGACAGUUCGGUCCCUAUCUGCCGUGGGCGCUGGAGAACUGAGGGGGGCUGCUCCUAGUACGAGAGGACCGGAGUGGACGCAUCACUGGUGUUCGGGUUGUCAUGCCAAUGGCACUGCCCGGUAGCUAAAUGCGGAAGAGAUAAGUGCUGAAAGCAUCUAAGCACGAAACUUGCCCCGAGAUGAGUUCUCCCUGACUCCUUGAGAGUCCUGAAGGAACGUUGAAGACGACGACGUUGAUAGGCCGGGUGUGUAAGCGCAGCGAUGCGUUGAGCUAACCGGUACUAAUGAACCGUGAGGCUUAACCUUACAACGCCGAAGGUGUUU
RNAcentral lists this ribosomal RNA (759 nucleotides) under Escherichia coli. Its description in RNAcentral is "partial 23S ribosomal RNA". It matches the Rfam family "Bacterial large subunit ribosomal RNA", at positions 2190 to 2925 of the family's 2925-position model. Lineage: Bacteria; Pseudomonadati; Pseudomonadota; Gammaproteobacteria; Enterobacterales; Enterobacteriaceae. The record is from RNAcentral.